This 220-nucleotide ribosomal RNA is filed under the name uncultured bacterium. RNAcentral's name for it is "partial 16S ribosomal RNA". It matches the Rfam family "Bacterial small subunit ribosomal RNA", at positions 114 to 334 of the family's 1533-position model. The record is from RNAcentral.
AACGUACGCAAUCUACCCAAAACUGAUGAAUAGCCCUCCGAAAGGAGGAUUAAUACAUCGUAACCUAAUUGAAUGGCAUCAUUUAAUUAGUAUAGCUCCGGCGGUUUUGGAUGAGCGUGCGCCUGAUUAGGUAGUUGGCGGGGUAAUGGCCCACCAAGCCUGCGAUCAGUAACUGGUGUGAGAGCACGACCAGUCACACGGGCACUGAGACACGGGCCCG